This 773-nucleotide long non-coding RNA is filed under the name Manihot esculenta (cassava). RNAcentral describes it as "long non-coding RNA (MESC_LNC005737)". Lineage: Eukaryota; Viridiplantae; Streptophyta; Magnoliopsida; Malpighiales; Euphorbiaceae. The record is from RNAcentral.
UUUGCUUCCACUUUUGUAAAUGCCUUACACCCUUACAGUAUUUCUGCUGCACAUCCUCCAAAAGGUUGAUUAGUAAGAGAACGAAGAAAACCCUCUCUCUGCCACCCGUUAGAUUUAUUAAGAUCUGGAGUCCCUUUCCUGUCUGACUCUCAUGUCUACGAUGACCCAUCAUUCCCCCAGCUCUGUAUAAAAAUCAUCUCCAUCUCUUCCUUAUACUGUGCAAACCCCCUUAUUCUUCUUUGUUUCUUAAAUUCUCUCAUUUCCUUUUCUUCUAUUACUUUGUUUCUUUUUCCUAGCGAAUAGCGUCACAAUAUAUCACUUCAGAUUUAGGGUUUCAGGCUCUUUUUGUGAUUAUAUGCAUAUUAUCUUCUAAGUGUUGUAUGUACACCUCUCCCUGUGUAUGUGCCGUUAACUAAUUUAACUUCUUAUAUAUUUAUUAUUUUUACUCCAUGAAUAGAUCAUAUGUAUUUAUAUAUAUAUAUAUAUAUAUAUUUGUUUAAGAAAAUAAUUUUGGUUUAUUGUCUGAAGGAUAUAUGAAAGCUGCUCUCUGGGAUCUCUGCCAAGAAUUUCAAGGUAAACCAAGUUGUCCGUUGGACAUCUAUCUGACCGUUCUUCUUCUUCACUGUUACUUUAACGUCAUUGCCUUGAUGUUUAUAAUAGAAGAUGUUUUGUCCCUUUACUCUUUAAUCGACCUUGUCCAAAAUAAGAAAACAGAUUUCGUUGAUUGUAGGGUUUUCUUUCUUUUUGUUCCAUGAUGGUAUAUUAGAUCUCCU